Molecule: ribosomal RNA, 407 nt
Filed under: uncultured Tessaracoccus sp.
Lineage: Bacteria; Bacillati; Actinomycetota; Actinomycetes; Propionibacteriales; Propionibacteriaceae
Description: bacterial SSU rRNA
Rfam family: Bacterial small subunit ribosomal RNA
Source: RNAcentral
GGGGAAUAUUGCACAAUGGGCGGAAGCCUGAUGCAGCAACGCCGCGUGCGGGAUGACGGCCUUCGGGUUGUAAACCGCUUUCACCCAUGACGACGUUUGUUUGACGGUAGUGGGAGAAGAAGCACCGGCUAACUACGUGCCAGCAGCCGCGGUGAUACGUAGGGUGCGAGCGUUGUCCGGAUUUAUUGGGCGUAAUGAGCUUGUAGGCGGUUGGUCACGUCGGGAGUGAAAACUCGGGGCUUAACUCCGAGCUUGCUUUCGAUACGGGCUGAAUUGAGGUAAGUAGGGGAGAAUGGAAUUACUGGUGAAGCGGUGGAAUGCGUAGAUAUCAGGAGGAACACCGGUGGCGAAGGCGGUUCUCUGGACUUUUCCUGACGCUGAGAAGCGAAAGCGUGGGGAGCAAACAG